AAUUCCAAACAAAAAAGAAAAAAAGAAAAAAAUUAUAUAUGGAGGCUUGUAUUUCAUUGUUGGAUCCAUUCUUAGAUCUCUUGCUGGGAAAGCGGCGGAGUACACAGUUGAUCCCAUUGCACGACAACUUAGUUACUUGUACAAGCACAAGAGCAAGUUACAAAACCUCAGGGAUCAACUUCAAAAACUGAAGGAUGCGAAAGAAAGAGUGCAAGAGAAUGGUAAUGCGGCUAAGAGACAGGGAGAGGAGAUAUUUAGCUACGUGGAUGAGUGGUUGUCUAAGGUCAAUGGGAAGAUGUGUGACGUGGAUGAGUGGUUGACUAAGGUCAAUGGGAAUAUCUGUAACGAGGCUGCUGCGCAAUUGGAUGAGGAUGAAGAGAAAGUAAAGCAGGGGUGUUUCGUUGGGUUGUGUCCUAAUUUUAAGUAUUGUUAUCAACUCUGUAGAAAAGCUGAGAGAGAGUUCAACACCAUUGCUGAACUCUUGAAAGAUAACGACCGAUUUGAUGGAGUAUCCCACCGACCUGCUCCAGAAGGGAUAGCUAUUAGACCUGCCAAAGAGUACGAGGCCUUUGAGUCAAGAAAGGGUGCUUUGGAUGCGGUCAUGGAGGCGCUUAAAGAUGCUAAUUUGAGCAUAAUUGGUGUUUACGGGACGUGCGGUGUGGGUAAAACUACCCUAGUCAAACAAGUUGCUAGUCAAGCCAAGGAUGAAAAUUUGUUUGAUGAGGUGGUCAUGGCAGCCGUAACCCGGAGUUUUGACAUCAAGAAAAUUCAAGAUCUGACUGUAGAUCAAUUGAGUGUGGAGUUUACAAAGCAGAGUGACCCCGGAAGAGCAGGCGAACUACGGAACAGACUAAAGAAUUUCAAGAAGGUUCUUGUCAUUUUGGAUGAUAUUUGGGAGAAAUUGGAUUGGAGGCUCUAGGAAUUCCUUACGGAGGUGAACACCAAGGAUGCAAGAUCUUACUGAUGUCUAGAGAGCUCAAUAUUUUAUCUUUGAUGCUUUCGCUGAAAAACAUUCGAAUUGAAAUAUUGGAAGAAGAAGAAGAAGCAUGGAACCUGUAUAAGAAGAAGGCUGGUGAUAUUGUUCUAAGCCACUGACUUGCAUAUUACGGCAAUUGAAGUGGCCAAAUAAUGUGCUGGAUUGCCGAUUGCCAUUGUAACAGUGGGGGAAGCUAUGAAAAAUAAGAAGAAUUUGUUUGAAUGGAAGACUGCUUUGCAAGAACUAAGAAGGCCCUCUAAAAUACAUUCCUUUCUCCAAUCAAAACCAACAAUGAUUUUUGGCAGAAUCCCGUGGAGGAAAUGCAGAAUUCUAUAGAAGAUCGAGGCAAUCCUUCAACUUCGAACACACAAUCAACAUAGUCGAGAAUUCUGAAGAUCAGCUCAAUCCUUCAACCGCAAAGAAACAGAGUAAGCCAAAAAUUCUUUCUAUGCAUCUUGAGACCAUAUAGCUUUUGUUGUACUCAUCUAAUGCAAAAGGUUUUUCUUUCCUUGAGUAAUGGGUGGCAGAAGGUUUUUUUGUUCUUCCUGAACGUUGCAUAUGUUAAUUUGUUUUGAUUGUUAAUUGUCAUAUUACUAAACGGUAGUGCUGCCAUACUGUUCUAUCUCUAAAGACAAGUUUAAUCGUGUUGCAUUUGAUCAACCUGUAAAUGGUCACAGCUUGUGUCUUUUAGGCUUUUUUGUUUCUAUGAUAACUAAUUUUAGCUUGCCAUGUAUUAUUUGAUCAACCUCAGAAGUGAUAACUUAUGUACGACUUUUCUAUUUUUAAUGAUCUGGGUAUUGUGAAGUUAAGGAUGACAACAAUUCUGAAGUCAGAGGAUGAGAAAUAUUCUGAAGUGGCAAAAUGACAAGGGUUCUGGAGUUGGGGAUCACAUACUUAUUUUGAACUAGACGAUAAGGAGACUUUUUCAAUGGUGAAUUUCAAGGAUUUGCCACUCUCCCUUUUUGAGAAGGUGAUUUUCUGCUGCAUUGAACCAAUGGCAAAUUCUUGAGUCCAUUGGAUGCCCCAAGGUGUGCCGUGCCUACAACAGCUUGUGAAUGGGCAGUUUAUCCAUCCUGACUGUAACAUGUUCCAUUCUACUUGACCGUCGUGCUGAGUUCCGUACGUCCUUGUGGAAUUUUUUGUAGCCCUAUUAUGUUUUAUUAGUGGCAGAGUUCGGAGGCAUGAUUUGAUGCAUCAUGGUGCACAAGCAUUCAACUGUCAAGGAGGUGGAUGGUACGGGGAAAUUGGGCAGAGCGAAUGCUCCUCCCCGAUUUCUGAUAUGGUGAGGGCUAACGCCACCUAAUCCUACUGAUUGAAUGGAAGAAUGGGAAAGAAUCCAAUCGGCACUGAAUGUUUACAAAGUAUUUGUCUCACGUCAAGUGAAGAAGCUGGUUCUUUUCAAACUUAGCAGAAGCUUACUAGUUUCAUUUUUCGUUAAUUGAAAACAUAUACAAGUCAAACACUUGCAGGAAGGCCCAAUGGUUGAGAACUCGUAGAAAUGGAGCAGUUUUUUCUCAUUUUCAUUUUGGACAUUUUCUGUUAGCAUUGACAUAAACAGAACAACCUGCAGCAAGGAUCUUGGUCCUUUGAAAACACUAUAGACCAAGAGUUGCCAACUAUAAGGAACAGAAGAUCAUUGUUCAAGUACAAUGGUUUUUAUUUACAACAGACAUCAGUUUUAAAGUUGGAUUUUUCAGUUAUUUUCUUGAAAGAGUCUUAGGCUUCAAAUCUUAUAAGAGGUGUCUUAUUUUCGUUUUAAACACUGAUAAGCAACUAUGGGAAUUUAAGUUAAUGAAGUUAAUUUAUUCUAUUUGCAGCGGGAAAUGGCUGCUCAAAUUUCUAUCAUCGAUAAAAACCAGUUUUAGUACCAAUUUGAUGUCGCAAUGAACCUGGAAUUUACUAGUAGGGAGUUAACAUAUUCAAAUGAAGAAGAAAAUUUACUUGUUUAUUCGGUUUGUGUUUAUUAAAGGAUUUAGAAGGAAAGAAACUGUUCAUUUGUUUCGUUUCAGUUUACGCAGUGGAUAGAUCUUAGGCUUGAAUCUCAGUACAGAUAAUACUACCUCAUCCAUCUGACAAGCCUUGAAAACUAGUAGCCCAACAAAAGACCAUAAAUGUGGCUAAAAUAAUGUAUUAGAAAAGAGCUAAAUAUAUGCUACUAUUGGUGAACCAUUUAAGAGAAAAAUAGUAACUCAAACCCAAUACCAACAAACAUAUACGCUACUAUUUCCAUUGUUGUAUCCAUUCCUGGCUCUGUUGUUGGCAAAGCGGCGGAGUACACAGUUGAUCCCACUGCACGACUAGUUAGUUACUUGUUCAAGUAAACGAGCAAGCUUCAAAACCUCAGGGAUCAGCGUCAAAAACUGGAGGAUUCAAGAGAAAG
This is a non-coding RNA of Durio zibethinus, 3356 nucleotides long. Lineage: Eukaryota; Viridiplantae; Streptophyta; Magnoliopsida; Malvales; Malvaceae. The record is from RefSeq and is a predicted model, not a curated record.